Oncorhynchus keta (chum salmon) is the source of this 828-nucleotide long non-coding RNA. RefSeq lists it as uncharacterized. The transcript is spliced from 3 exons. The record is from RefSeq and is a predicted model, not a curated record. NCBI's taxonomy places the organism in Eukaryota, Metazoa, Chordata, Actinopteri, Salmoniformes, Salmonidae.
CCCCACGUUCAUCUGUGAUGAUCUGAACAGGUAAAUGACAUUCUCCUCUCCCCACAUUCAUCUGUGAUGAUCUGAACAGGUAAAUGACAUUCUCCUCUCCCCACGUUCAUCUGUGAUGAUCUGAACAGGUAAAUGACAUUCUCCUCUCCCCACGUUCAUCUGUGAUGAUCUGAACAGGUAAAUGACAUUCUCCUCUCCCCACGUUCAUCUGUGAUGAUCUGAACAGGUAAAUGACAUUCUCCUCUCCCCACGUUCAUCUGUGAUGAUCUGAACAGGUAAAUGACAUUCUCCUCUCCCCACGUUCAUCUGUGAUGAUCUGAACAGGUAAAUGACAUUCUCCUCUCCCCACGUUCAUCUGUGAUGAUCUGAACAGGUAAAUGACAUUCUCCUCUCCCCACGUUCAUCUGUGAUGAUCUGAACAGGUAAAUGACAUUCUCCUCUCCCCACGUUCAUCUGUGAUGAUCUGAACAGGUAAAUGACAUUCUCCUCUCCCCACGUUCAUCUGUGAUGAUCUGAACAGGUAAAUGACAUUCUCCUCUCCCCACGUUCAUCUGUGAUGAUCUGAACAGGUAAAUGACAUUCUCCUCUCCCCACGUUCAUCUGUGAUGAUCUGAACAGGUAAAUGACAUUCUCCUCUCCCCACGUUCAUCUGUGAUGAUCUGAACAGGUAAAUGACAUUCUCCUCUCCCCACGUUCAUCUGUGAUGAUCUGAACAGGUAAAUGACAUUCUCCUCUCCCCACAUUCAUCUGUGAUGAUCUGAACAGGUAAAUGACAUUCUCCUCUCCCCACGUUCAUCUGUGAUGAUCUGAACAGGUAAAUGACAUUCU